AGUGAACGCUGGCGGUAGGCCUAACACAUGCAAGUCGAACGGCAGCACAGUAAGAGCUUGCUCUUACGGGUGGCGAGUGGCGGACGGGUGAGGAAUACAUCGGAAUCUACUUUUUCGUGGGGGAUAACGUAGGGAAACUUACGCUAAUACCGCAUACGACCUACGGGUGAAAGCAGGGGAUCUUCGGACCUUGCGCGAUUGAAUGAGCCGAUGUCGGAUUAGCUAGUUGGCGGGGUAAAGGCCCACCAAGGCGACGAUCCGUAGCUGGUCUGAGAGGAUGACCGGCCACACUGGAACUGAGACACGGUCAGACUCCUACGGGAGGCAGCAGUGGGGAAUAUUGGACAAUGGGCGCAAGCCUGAUCCAGCCAUACCGCGUGGGUGAAGAAGGCCUUCGGGUUGUAAAGCCCUUUUGUUGGGAAAGAAAAGCAGCAGGUUAAUACCCCGCUGUUCUGACGGUACCCAAAGAAUAAGCACCGGCUAACUUCGUG
RNAcentral lists this ribosomal RNA (491 nucleotides) under uncultured bacterium. Its description in RNAcentral is "partial 16S ribosomal RNA". It matches the Rfam family "Bacterial small subunit ribosomal RNA", at positions 29 to 507 of the family's 1533-position model. The record is from RNAcentral.